Long non-coding RNA from Cervus elaphus (red deer), 563 nucleotides. RefSeq lists it as uncharacterized. The transcript is spliced from 3 exons. NCBI's taxonomy places the organism in Eukaryota, Metazoa, Chordata, Mammalia, Artiodactyla, Cervidae. The record is from RefSeq and is a predicted model, not a curated record.
GUCAGGAGGCUGCUGCAGUGAACCAGAGCAGUGGAUGGUGGCUUGGAUGGGGGUGAUGUAGAGAUUGCGAUGGAGAAUGGGCUUCUGGAUUUAUUUUGAAAGUAGAACCUGCAGAGUUCCUUGGACUCUGAUGUGAGGUACAUCUUCAUGGAUGCAGCAUGGUACCAGACAGAGAGUGCUGAACCAGGAAGACCACCUUCCAGUGACUCAGGAAAGCAAGCAUCACUCCUUGGUAAAGUCAUCUGGGUCUCAGUUUCCUGAUCUGCAGCGUAAGAUGAUGAUCUCCAAGGAUCCAGCUAUGAUAUGGCAUGAAUGGGCUUCCCUGGUGGUGCCGUGAUUGAGACUCCAUCUUGCAACACAGGGGGACACCGGUUCAAGUCCGUGGUCCAGGAGGACCUCACAUGCCUGGGGGCAGCUAAGCCCCCGCGCCACAGCUGCUGAGCCCGUGCUCCAGAGUCCCACGCUCCAUGAGAGAAGCCGUGGCGAUGGGAAGCCCACGCACCGCAACUGGAGGGCAGCCCCCACUGGCCGCAACUAGAGAAAGGCAACGCAUAGCAACGAAG